This is a long non-coding RNA of Cyprinus carpio carpio, 447 nucleotides long. The record is from Ensembl. NCBI's taxonomy places the organism in Eukaryota, Metazoa, Chordata, Actinopteri, Cypriniformes, Cyprinidae.
GGCAGAAGCGGGCUCUGAAGCUGAUUCAAGGAUAGGAGCUGUCACUGAAGUAGAUUUAUUGUUUGAAGUGGAUUUGAAGACUGGAGUAGGCUCUAGAAUGGUUUUAAUGAAUGGAACACACUCAAGGACUGGAGUAGACUCAGAAGUGGAUUUAAGGGUACAUAACACAGUUUUGUGAUUUAUCUUUUAGGGUACCUUUUGAUGAGGUCGUACUAAAAGACAUUUUUCAUUCGGACUAAAUGAGCCCAUAAGGUCACCGUUACCCGAGGGGCGGUUUAAACCUCUGGAGUCUAAGGGUAUUUUUGGGGCCUGGAGAAGUUUUGUCAUGCCCUGACAUUUGUGCUUUUUUCAGUUUCUUAUAAAUAUCUAAAUAGCUAAAGUCUAAUCUCAUUGUAAUCAGCACACACUGGGCUAUAAUAAUAUGUGAGCAGCAUGUAUGUACAUGAU